UUGAGGUAUAAAAUGCAUUUAAAAUAGCUAAAAUACUUGAUAGAGAGGUGUUUAAAAAAGUAUCGGGUGAUUCCAGUGUGAACUUAAAAUACAAAUAUUUGUAUUUGUUUUAUUUGUAUAAAAUCCCCAAAAUUGACCUGAGGACAUGGAAGUGCCUUAGUGGCAUAAUCAGCCACAUACUGUAUCUGUAUGUAAGGUGGGACAUUUUUUCAAAAUCACUUCCUCUUCAAACAACCAACCUAAAUUUUGUAACUCCUGUGGUGCAUGUAGAAACACAUUUCUGCUGAUGUUGUCACUUCACUUUGACCCUUGACCCUCAUCUCUGUUACACCAGACCAGAGAGAAGAAGUUGAAGGAUGUUCAUGUUGUGUCUAGUCCUUGUUAACAUUCCAGUUUAACAAUUUAAAGUACUAUUGGUAAACCAAUGAUUCUAAUAUUUCAUACUCCUGAAUCAAUGCUUAACUAUGUUUGAUUCACACACUCAGGGAAACCAAACAAUGUACACAACACCCAACCAGGACUUAGGGUUAAUGUAAUCAAAGUAAGUAAAUGUUCAUGUUGUCUGAGUUAUCCUCUUCUGCACGUUCAUCUUGGAGACAAUGUGACUCUGCAACACAUCUAUCCGGACAGAAAGUCUUAUCUGAUGGUACAAGAUAACUGUAGGAAAGAAUCCUCAACUUGUAUUUAUAACAAUUAACAGAUAUGAUGGUGGAUCAACAUUUCACAAUGAGUUUAUGGAUAACCCUCAGUUCACAGUGCAAAGUGGAAAUGGAUUUUAUCAUCUACAUAUCUCCAACACUCAGCGAUCUGUCUCCACUACAUAUUUCUAUGGGGCAAUGAAUGUUAAUGUGAUGAAAUUCAAAAAUGGGAUAUUUCUCAUUCUGGCUAUUGUUUUAUUAACAGUAAUAUUGUAAAAUAUGGCUAAUUAUGUUAAUUGUUUAAAUGUGCUAAUCCAUCAUCUAAAGUUCUAAUCUAACUUUUUAUUUCAGGAUCAAGCAAAACUGUUGGACAAACAUUCUGUGUCUGAGUCAGUCCAGCCAGGAGAAUCUUUCCUCUGUGAAAGUUGCGCCCCUGAAAUUACAAAUGUGUUUCCUUACCCUAUAAGCAGUCUAUGGAGAAGGUAUGACAGCAAUCUAUGCUUUGGUUUAACUUACUUGGCACUGUUUCCAAAUGCUAAGGUUUUAGUAUUCGUGGCACAAAUCAUAUUCAAGUCAUGGGACCGAUAUUACACUACACCAAGAUGGCGUAGCAGUGCAGACGUUGUUUGUCGUUCUCCCGUGCAAAUGUUGUAUUUUUUGUCUAAAUAUACCUUUCGGCAACCCGUAUCACAAAAUGUGAACAGAUCUGCUAUUUUUGGACAUUUUUGCCAGAACCUCAAUCAGAAACUAAACAGCUAAUCAGCUACUAGCUAUUUAGUAACUGUUAGCCAUUGCUAACGGCCUUUACCUUUAGCACAGACACCAGAUGCUUUUAGCAUGGAUAAUACUUGACAGCAUGCCAGUCUGCACAGCGCGUUAUCAACCCUGUGCAUAUCAAACUGUUUUUCUCCACUGCAACACCGGAUUCCUGCCGUAAGCCCUGGACAAUUACUCCUGAUUGUCACAGCUAGCGAGCUACCACCGAGUGGCCCAACCCUGAAGCUAGCCUUGAGCCAAACCCAUCUCCCGGCCUGCUCAGUGGACCCUACGAUCACUCGGCUACACAGCUGAUGCCUCCUGCACUCUUCACUAACACGACUAGAAUCCACUACACCACCGGAUUCUUGCCAUAAGCUCUGGAACGCCCUUGUCCCGAAGCUAGCACCAGUUAGCCGAGAGCCAGCGCAUCUCCCGGCUAGCAAACACAAUUACUCCAGGUACAAUACCGCUUUUGCCAACUGGCUUGGACCCUUUGUCGACACGGUGCCCCGCCAUUACAUCACGACUGAUCUGCCGACAUAAUUCCGUCCGUUGUGCCAUCAAACGGCCUUUGCCGGACGUCAGAGCAGACACUUCUACUAGCCCCGGCCUGCUAACUUUUUUUGAACGCCAUGUUUCCCGCUUGCUAUUGUAUUAUUAACGACUACCUAGCGGCUUCCCUGUUUCAUCUAUUGCUGUUCACUGGAACCUAUGAUCACUUGACUACAUAGCUGAUGCCUGCUGGACUGUUCAUUAACCUCUUCAACCUAUGGGGGCGCUAUUUCAUUAUUGGAUAAAAAAAACGUGCCCGUUUUAAGCGCAAUAUUUUGUCACAAAAAGAUGCUCGACUAUGCAUAUAAUUGACAGCUUUGGAAAGAAAACACUCUGACGUUUCCAAAACUGCAAAGAUAUUAUCUGUGAGUGCCCCAGAACUGAUGCUACAGGCGAAACCAAGAUGAAACUUCAAACAGGAAAUUAGCAGGAUUUUUGAGGCUCUGUUUGCCAAUGUCUCCUUAUAUGGCUGUGAAUGCGCCAGGAAUGAUCCUGCCCUUUCUAUCGUUUCUCCAAGGUGUCUGCAGCAUUGUGACGUAUUUGUAGGCAUAUCAUUGGAAGAUUGGCCAUAAGAGACUACAUUUACCAGGUGUCCGCCCGGUGUCCUUUGUUGAAAUUGCUGCAUAAUCUACAAGCUGCACGCAGUCAUCCAGUGAUUGAGAGGAGAGAGGAGACUUCCACGAACGAUAUAUCAUGAAGAGAUAUGUGAAAAACACCUUGAGGAUUGAUUCUAAACAACGUUUACCAUGUUUCAGUCGAUAUUAUGGAGUUAAUUUGGAAAAAGGUUUUGGCGUUAUGAUGACUGAAUUUUCGUUUUUUUUUGGUAACCAAACAUGACGCAGAAAACGGAGCGAUUUCUCCUGCACAAAAAACUGGCAAAAAAACGGAACAUUUGCUAUCUAACUGAGAGUCUCCUCAUUGAAAACAUCCGAAGUUCUUCAAAGGUAAAUUAUUUUAUUUGAAUGCUUUUCUGGUUUUUGUGAAAAUGUUGCCUGCUGAAUGCUAACGCUAAAUGCUACGCUAGCCUGCGACUGCUAUCAAUACUGUUACACAAAUGCUUGUUUUGCUAUGGUUGAGAAGCAUAUUUUUGAAAAUCUGAGAUGACAGUGUUGUUAACAAAAGGCUAAGCUUGAGAGCUAGCAUAUUGAUUUCAUUUCAUUUGCGAUUUUCAUAAAUAGUUAACGUUGUGUUAUGGUAAUGGACUUGAGGCUGUAGUCACGAUCCCGGAUCCGGGAUGGCUCGACGCAAGAAGUUAAUCAUGGUACUCCAUUUUUGUUUAUUUUGUUUAUCUGUCGGCCCCAGCCUCAAACUCAGGCCCUUUGUGUAGUUAACUGACCCACUCUGCACAUUCACCGCCAUUUUACCUGCUGCUGUUAGCUGAUUAGCUGUUGUUGUCUUAACCGUUGUUGUCUUAGGUAGCUCUCCCAAUCAACACCUGUGAUUGUUUUAUGGCUCGCUUUAUGUCUCUCUCUAAUGUCAAUUUGCCUUGUAUACUGUUGUUUAAAACCAGUUAGAGAUAGGGGGCAGUAUUUCCACUUUUGAUGAAUUGCGUGCCCAUAGCGAACUGCAUCAAAAUCUGUCCUAAAUUGCUAAUAUAUGCAUAUUAUUAUUAAUAUUGGAUAAAAAACACUCUGACAUUUCUAAAACUGUUUGAAUUAUGUCUGUGAGUAUAACUCACAGGGCAGGCAAUCUUCCAAACAAGUUUUGAAAUCCUGAAAGUUGGGGCAACUUUGACGUCAUCACACCCUCCCUUCCCAACAAGUUAUGGAUCUGGAAACACUUCCUACGUCUUCCACUAGAUGUCCUCAUUCAGUAGAAAGUGUAAUGGAGCAUUUGCUGUGAAGUUUGACCUAAUGGGAAGGAAAGUAUUUGGUGUCGCAAAAGGAUGCCAUUUUGUUGAGGCGCGUUUGCCUUUGAGUGCUUCGGCUGUUCCAAUCAGCCCCAGAUGAAAACGAAUGAUCCGGUUGGAAUGCUAUUGGAUAUAUAUGAUUAUUACAUCCUGAAGAUUGAUUCUGCACUUAGUUUGACCAGUUUCUUCGACCUGUAAUAUGUCAUUUGGAAGUUUUGAUGCAAAGUUAUCCUGGACCAGAAGUCAUUUUUUGGGCACUUGAGCUGAAAGUGGUAGCAAAUGCUGCUACUUGGACACUAGAAUUGAACAUUAUGAAACAAAACAAUUUAUUGUUGAACUAGGACUCCUUGCACUACAUUCUGAUGAAAGAUCAUCAAAGUUAAGGGAAUAUUUAUGUUGUAAUUUUGUAUUUCUGUUGACUCCAACAUGGUGGAGAAAUAUUUUUACGUCUAAGCGCCGUCUCAGAUUAUUGCAAUGUUAGGCUUUUUCCGUAACGUUAAAAAAAUGUGACACAGCGGUUGCAUUAAGAACCAGUGUAUCUUUAAUUAUACGUAGAACAUGUAUCUUUAGUCAAAGUUUAUGAUGAGGAUUUUCUGAACAUGGCGUCAAUGUAAACCGAGAUUUAUGGAUAUAAAAUGCAUAUAAUCGAACAAAACAUAAACGUACUGUGUAACAUGUCAUAUGACUGUCAUCUGAUGAAGAUUUUCAAGAGGUUAGUGAUUGAUUUUUUUUUAAAUCCUGCUUUUGGGAUUUUUAUCUUUUGCUGGAAAAAAUGGCUACGUUUUUUCUUUGGUUUGGUGGUGGUCUAAAAUAAAUAUAUGUUGUGUUUUCGCCGUAAAACAUUUAAAAAAUCUGACACGCUGGGUAGAUGAACAAGGUGUUUAUCUUUCAUUUGAGGUAUUGGGCUUGUUAAUAUGUGGAGGUUAAAUAUUUCUAAAUAAUAUUGUUGCAUUCCCUGCGCCACCUUUUCAGCUGAACGGGGGGGUGGAGUUCCUGUAGCGGAACCCAUCGGCUUAACAAGUUUUUAAGAUGGUUUAGUGAAUGGAACAUACUCAAGAGAACGUCCUAGGAGAAUCCACUUGGAGCAUGAGAGUGUGGAGCACGGAGUAUGCAUAUUGAGAAACACCCCAUGCCUACCAGUAGAUCAAAUCACCUUUUACUCCAUUGUCGAAGUGUUGUUCAAAUGGGUAGACCCUUUCCACACGCAAUAAUCUCUUCAAAGAUGAUGUCACUGUGUAUGAUAUUUCUAUUUCUCAAACAAAUGGGUGAGUUAAACCUUAAUAUUUCUGUUAAUGUGCUUCCUAAAAAAAUACAAGAGGUAUUUUUGUAUUAUUCACAGACACUUUGGGGUAUCUAUAUCCAACACUGGAAUGGUUGUAUUUUGUAUAAUGGCAAAUAUAUUUGAAUAAGUAAUGUUUUUUUUUGUGUCUAGAUCAAGUUUAUAUCUGUGACACAGUCCCAGUCAGCCCGUUGUCUAUAGUAUAUGUUAAAGUUGGAAGCAUAACAACUUUACAUUGUGUCAACUUCAACUGCCUGUGAUGGGUUGAUGACCUAUGUUGAUUGGUUCAAUCAGGCUGUUGGACAAAUGCCUUUACUCAUGGCAUCAUCACUUCAAACCAAUCAAGAUAGUUUUUAUACAACAACUUUAUCUUCCCUGGAAACUAAACAUCUGAGUGUGAAGAGAGGAGUUGACAGCUGUGACCUGACCAUCUCCAAGACAGAGUCAGGGGACUCAGCUACAUACUAUUGAUGCUGGGACUUACUACUGUGCUGUGGCCUCAUGUGGAGAUGCUGUCUGGAAACUGGAACAAGCUGGAGAUCAAGGACAAUGGAGCAGACUCUCUACUGUUGGUGUACUGCAUAGGAGUAGCAUUGGCUCUCUCUCUAAUCCUGAUCAUUUUCCUGACCUGCUUCAUUUACAAUAUGAACAAGAGAGCAUGUCUGCAGUGCAGAGGCCCACGAUGCAGACAGUCUCCAUUAUGUAGCUCUGAAUCUGAGCAACAAGAAGAACAGGUCUAGAAGACAGAGAAGCAACAUGGAGGAAGAGACGGUCUACUCUGGGAUCAGACUGUAGAACAAUAAAACAGACGUCAAUUAAAAUUCAUGAGCUCUUAUUUAACUGUAUUAGUUUUGUUAUUUUAACUGUAACAACUAAUACAAGAAAUGCUUUGCUUCUCUGCCAUUUCAUAUCGA
Oncorhynchus keta (chum salmon) is the source of this 5991-nucleotide long non-coding RNA. RefSeq lists it as uncharacterized. The transcript is spliced from 6 exons. NCBI's taxonomy places the organism in Eukaryota, Metazoa, Chordata, Actinopteri, Salmoniformes, Salmonidae. The record is from RefSeq and is a predicted model, not a curated record.